This 468-nucleotide ribosomal RNA is filed under the name uncultured bacterium. RNAcentral's name for it is "partial 16S ribosomal RNA". It matches the Rfam family "Bacterial small subunit ribosomal RNA", at positions 28 to 507 of the family's 1533-position model. The record is from RNAcentral.
GACGAACGCUGGCGGCGUGCUUAACACAUGCAAGUCGAACGGAAAGGCCCUGCUUUUGUGGGGUGCUCGAGUGGCGAACGGGUGAGUAACACGGGAGUAACCUGCCCUUGACUUUGGGAUAACUUCAGGAAACUGGGGCUAAUAACGGAUAGGAGCUCCUGCUGCAUGGUGGGGGUUGGAAAGUUUCGGCGGUUGGGGAUGGACUCGCGGCUUAUCAGCUUGUUGGUGGGGUAGUGGCUUACCAAGGCUUUGACGGGUAGCCGGCCUGAGAGGGUGACCGGCCACAUUGGGACUGAGAUACGGCCCAGACUCCUACGGGAGGCAGCAGUGGGGAAUAUUGCACAAUGGGCGGAAGCCUGAUGCAGCAACGCCGCGUGCGGGAUGACGGCCUUCGGGUUGUAAACCGCUUUCGCCUGUGACGAAGCGUGAGUGACGGUAAUGGGUAAAGAAGCACCGGCUAACUACGUG